Non-coding RNA from Cercophora samala, 87 nucleotides. NCBI's taxonomy places the organism in Eukaryota, Fungi, Ascomycota, Sordariomycetes, Sordariales, Lasiosphaeriaceae. The record is from the annotation of a GenBank genome assembly.
GCCUGGUUAGUUUAAUCGGUAAAACGUAAGACUUUUAUAAAGUACUCCGAAAUCUUAAAGUUAUAGGUUUGACCUUUAUAUUAAGCU